Vicia faba (fava bean) is the source of this 222-nucleotide non-coding RNA. The record is from the annotation of a GenBank genome assembly. Lineage: Eukaryota; Viridiplantae; Streptophyta; Magnoliopsida; Fabales; Fabaceae.
UCAUCAUCAUUUAGGGUUCCUCUUAAUUUCUUACUCCACAAGUCAACCCUUCUCAAGAUGCUUAGAGGAUUGAAUCAAGAUCUUUUUUGUUGUGAUACUGGUCAAGUGGUUAAAGUUUUACUUUGGGAUUUUAUCAAGUUAAGGCGUUCCUUAUUGCUUAAGCUAUGGGUUAAGAUCUCAUCAACCUUUCGAAUAGGAUUUGGUGGUCUCUUGGAUUUAUGA